RNAcentral lists this signal recognition particle RNA (266 nucleotides) under Pontibacillus chungwhensis. RNAcentral describes it as "signal recognition particle sRNA large type". It matches the Rfam family "Bacterial large signal recognition particle RNA". Rfam says of the family: The signal recognition particle (SRP) is a universally conserved ribonucleoprotein involved in the co-translational targeting of proteins to membranes. The record is from RNAcentral. RNAcentral also lists the same sequence under 1 other name. Lineage: Bacteria; Bacillati; Bacillota; Bacilli; Caryophanales; Bacillaceae.
CCGUGCUAAGCGGGAAGGUAGCGGUGUCCUGUACUCGCAAUCCGCUAUAGCGAGGCCGAAUUCCCACCCAAGGUGGGGCGGUUUCAAGGUCUGCCUUGAGGGAUUGGUGUUGACACCCGGGUCCCGCACAAUGGGAACCCGUAAAUCCUGUCAGGUCCGGAAGGAAGCAGCAGUAAGCGGUCAUUCCCGUGUGUUGCGGGACAGCCCGGGUCGAGCCAUGAACUCAAGUAACGCUUGGGGCCGCCUCAUCGACGGUGGGUGCACGG